RNAcentral lists this ribosomal RNA (2177 nucleotides) under human gut metagenome. Its description in RNAcentral is "bacterial LSU rRNA". It matches the Rfam family "Bacterial large subunit ribosomal RNA", at positions 181 to 2447 of the family's 2925-position model. The record is from RNAcentral.
AACCGCCCGAACUGAAACAUCUAAGUAGGGCGAGGAAAAGAAAUCAACCGAGAUUCUGUGAGUAGUGGCGAGCGAAAGCGGAAGAGGCUAAACCGAGAGGAGCAAUCCUUUCGGGGUUUAGGACUGCAUUUAGUACAACGAUUGUUAACCGAACAGCAUGGGAAGGCUGAUCAAAGAAGGUGAGAAUCCUGUAGGUGAAAACGAAAGUUGACGAGCAGUAUCCAAAGUACCGCGGGGCACGUGAAAUCCCGUGGGAAGAUGGGGGGACCAUCCUCCAAGCCUAAAUACUACCUGAUGACCGAUAGCGAAUAGUACUGUGAAGGAAAGGUGAAAAGCACCCCGGGAGGGGAGUGAAAGAGAACCUGAAACCCUGUGCUUACAAGCACUUAGAGCACGUCAAAGUGUGAUAAGGUACCUAUUGUAGAAUGGUCCGGCGAGUUAUUGUAUGCAGCGAGGUUAAGUAGUUCAGCUACGGAGCCGAAGUGAGAGCGAGUGUUAACAGCACGUUCAGUUGCAUGCAAUAGACCCGAAACCGGGUGACCUAUCCAUGUCCAGGAUGAAGUGAGGGUAAAACCUCAUGGAGGUCCGAACCCACUCCCGUUGAAAUGGUAGGGGAUGAGGUGUGGAUAGCGGAGAAAUUCCAAUCGAACCCGGAUAUAGCUGGUUCUCCCCGAAAUAGUUUUAGGACUAGCCUCGUGAUUAAGAUUAUCGGAGGUAAAGCACUGAAUGGCCUAGGGGUCGAGAGAUUACCGAAGCCUAUCAAACUCUGAAUGCCGAAUAAUCAUGCACGGGAGUCAGACUGUGUGAGAUAAGUUUCAUAGUCGAAAGGGAAACAGCCCAGACCUACAGCUAAGGUCCCAAAGUACGUUUAAGUGGAAAACGAUGUGAAAUUGCGUAGACAACCAGGAUGUUGGCUUAGAAGCAGCCAUACAUUAAAAGAGUGCGUAAUAGCUCACUGGUCGAGUGACUUUGCGCGGAAAAUUUAACGGGGCUAAAACGUACACCGAAGCUUAGGCUUGUCACAAUGUGACAGGGGUAGGGGAGCGUUGAAUGAGGGGUGAAGUCGUAGCGAAAGCGACGGUGGACUUCAUUCAAGUGAGAAUGCCGGAAUGAGUAGCGAGAAUUAUGUGAGAAUCAUAAUGGCCGAAAGCCUAAGGUUUUUGGAGGAAGGUUCGUCCGCUCCAAGUAAGUCGGAAGCUAAGGUGAGGCUGAAAAGCGUAGCCGAUGCACAAACGGUUGAAAUUCCGUUACCACAGAAAGAUUUAAACUAAGGGACACUUUUGAAGAGCUGAUGCCGGGUGUUGGUUACCCCGGUCGUAAGGGAACGAAAUUAAGUAGUGAAGUCAGCGUGGAUGAAGGCGAGAAAAGCUUAGUGUAUAUCUUAUGUGUCCGUACCGCAAACCGACACAGGUAGGUAGGAAGAGAAUUCUAAGGCCAACGGGAGAAGGGUAGUUAAGGAACUCGGCAAAAUGUCCCCGUAACUUCGGAAUAAGGGGAGGUUUCUACGGAAACCCGCAGAGAAUAGUCCCAGGCAACUGUUUAUCAAAAACACAGCUCUAUGCUAAAUCGAAAGAUGACGUAUAUGGGGUGACGCCUGCCCGGUGCCGGAAGGUUAAGAGGAGGAGUGAGAGCCCUGAAUCGAAGCCCCGGUAAACGGCGGCCGUAACUAUAACGGUCCUAAGGUAGCGAAAUUCCUUGUCAGGUAAGUUCUGACCCGCACGAAUGGCGUAAUGAUCUGGGAGCUGUCUCAACUGCCCGCCCGGCGAAAUUGUAGUACCGGUGAAGAUGCCGGUUACCCGCGACUAGACGGAAAGACCCCAUGGAGCUUUACUGUAGCUUAAUAUUGGAUUUCGGCAUUUCAUGUACAGGAUAGGUGGGAGACUAGGAAACAUAGGCGUCAGCUUAUGUGGAGUCGUCCUUGGGAUACCACUCUUGGAGUGCUGAAAUUCUAACCUGCAGCCCUGAAUCGGGUUGGGGGACAUUGUUAGGUGGGCAGUUUGACUGGGGCGGUCGCCUCCAAAAAGGUAACGGAGGCGCUCAAAGGUUGGCUCAGCAUGGAUGGAAACCAUGCUAUAGAGUGCAAACGCAAAAGCCAGCCUGACUGCGAGACUGACGGGUCGAGCAGAAACGAAAGUUGGAGUUAGUGAUCCGGCGGUAUGUGAAUGGAAAUGCCGUCG